GUCUAUGUAGUAUAUUAAUUACACUGGUCUUGUAAACCAGAAAAGGGGAAUAAUAAUUCCCCCAAAGACU
RNAcentral lists this transfer RNA (70 nucleotides) under Cynopterus sphinx (Indian short-nosed fruit bat). Its description in RNAcentral is "tRNA-Thr". The record is from RNAcentral. Lineage: Eukaryota; Metazoa; Chordata; Mammalia; Chiroptera; Pteropodidae. RNAcentral also lists the same sequence under 1 other name.